AAGUCCGCAACGAGCGCAACCCUUGUCAUUAGUUGCCACCCAUUCAGUUGGGCACUCUAAUGAGACUGCCGGUGGACAAACCGGAGGAAGGUGGGGAUGACGUCAAGUCCUCAUGGCCCUUAUGGGUAGGGCUUCACACGUCAUACAAUGGUCGGUACAGAGGGUCGCCAACCCGCGAGGGGGAGCCAAUCCCACAAAGCCGAUCGUAGUCCGGAUUGGAGUCUGCAACUCGACUCCAUGAAGUCGGAAUCGCUAGUAAUCGUGGAUCAGCAUGUCACGGUGAAUACGUUCCCGGGUCUU
This 300-nucleotide ribosomal RNA is filed under the name uncultured Rhodocyclaceae bacterium. RNAcentral describes it as "bacterial SSU rRNA". It matches the Rfam family "Bacterial small subunit ribosomal RNA", at positions 1082 to 1382 of the family's 1533-position model. The record is from RNAcentral. Lineage: Bacteria; Pseudomonadati; Pseudomonadota; Betaproteobacteria; Rhodocyclales; Rhodocyclaceae.